UUGACCUCGGAUCAGGUAGGAAUACCCGCUGAACUUAAGCAUAUCAAAAGCCGAAGGAAUUCCCCCUCCCAAACCCAUGGGGAACCCAACCAAAUGGUGGCCCGGGGGGGCCCCGCCCCGGGGGGGUCCAAACCCGGAACCGGGGCCCCCCGGAGGGACCAACCAAAAUUUUUCUGGAGCCCCCUCGGGGGGUUUUUUUUUACCGGUUUUGGCAAAAUUCAAAUGAACAAAAUUUCCAAAACGAGCUUUGGUUUUGGCCCCAUGAAAAACCCACCAAAGGGAUAAGAAUGGGGAUGCGAGAAUCAGGAAUCUCGAAACUUGAAUCCCAUGGGCCCCCCCGAAUUCUGGGGGAUGGCUGUCAAAGUUUUUAACCCUCAGGCCCCCGGGGGCCCCUUGGGGUCGGAAACCGUAACGGAUCCCGAACCCCAAAAAAGGGGCUUUCCCCGCCACUGGGGCAUAAUCGCACACCAGCCAGAGAGCGCGCGGUCCCUCCUCGGCCGCUCUGACAUAAGUCUGAAACCCUAUAUUAUAAUGUAUGUAGGAGAAAAAAC
This 551-nucleotide ribosomal RNA is filed under the name Trichoderma viride. RNAcentral describes it as "partial 28S ribosomal RNA". The record is from RNAcentral. Lineage: Eukaryota; Fungi; Ascomycota; Sordariomycetes; Hypocreales; Hypocreaceae.